CAGUCGCCACGGGAAUACAGAGGGUGAGAGCGUUAAUCGGAUUUACUGGGCGUAAAGCGUGCGUAGGCGGCUAAUUGAGUCGGAUGUGAAAUCCCCGAGCUUAACUUGGGAAUUGCAUUCGAUACUGGUUAGCUAGAGUGUGGGAGAGGAUGGUAGAAUUCCAGGUGUAGCGGUGAAAUGCGUAGAGAUCUGGAGGAAUACCGAUGGCGAAGGCAGCCAUCUGGCCUAACACUGACGCUGAGGUACGAAAGCAUGGGGAGCAAACAGGAUUAGAGACCCCUGUAGUCCCUGUCUCUUAUAC
RNAcentral lists this ribosomal RNA (301 nucleotides) under uncultured bacterium. RNAcentral's name for it is "partial 16S ribosomal RNA". It matches the Rfam family "Bacterial small subunit ribosomal RNA", at positions 509 to 807 of the family's 1533-position model. The record is from RNAcentral.